Non-coding RNA from Misgurnus anguillicaudatus (oriental weatherfish), 4166 nucleotides. Lineage: Eukaryota; Metazoa; Chordata; Actinopteri; Cypriniformes; Cobitidae. The record is from RefSeq and is a predicted model, not a curated record.
AAGCACACUGUAAAAGCAAAUAGUAAUCCUUACUCUAAAAAUGCUAGUAUGCUUACUUGUUUUUAACCAAACUGUUGAGUUUACUUAAAACGGUUAAUUGUUCUUUAAAUGUUACACUACAAAGUUCACAUAACUAAUGCAAUUUAAGUAAACUUACUCAAAAUAUCCAAGACGUUCUAUUGAGCAUGCGCAUUUGAGCACAUUUCCCCUCCCCCACACCUGGACGAAGCACAUGGAGUGACUCAUGAGGAAGAUUCUCAAAGGAAGUUUUAACAUUACCCUCUGCAACUUUAAGGUAAUUAACACAACAUUUUCUAUUUUUCUUGUUUGCUUGUCCUUAUUGUCGACACAUUUUCCACAAUUAUAUGCAUGCAUGCUGUUUUGACGAGUUUAUUACGAUGUUAGGCCUAAGUUACAUUUAACAUUACCGGGUCAAUUGGUGCAAAAAUACAACCAAUUUGAACAAAUCUUUACUUAAAUUAAAUAUAAAGGGGCAAAAAACCAAAUGUAUAAUUAAACUAAGUAUAUAUUACAAGAUAGUCUGCUCAUGUUUGCAAUAAAGAUUGUUUUUGCAACGUUAUACAUUAAACCAAUCACACGUGCGAUGUCCAAACAGAUGCGUUUUGAAUGCUUCAUCGUUGUAGAGAAACGCGAGGUUUUCAUGAAUAACAAACGUGCAUAUUUGAUAUAGAGUUGCCGCGGUGACAGAAUUUUCUCACCGGUUAAUCGGCGCGUCACAAACCCGGUGAUCCCGGUUUCACCGGGUGGGAGGGGCUUAUAAAUGCGCAUGCAGACGUACACAUUUUACUUUCACUUUUGAAUUACGCAACUGUUUAAAUGCAGUGCUUGCGUACGCUGCGUUAAAUCGCAUAUGAACUUGCGUGCAAUGCGAGUGCAACCACUGGUUUAAUUAAGUGCUUAAGUCAAUGUGCCCAGGUAAUUCUCACAGAACCCCUCAGUCCCAAGCAGAGCAACCGCCUACUUCUCCAUAAAGCGCUGCUUGAAUGAUGGCUUUAUUAUUUUUCUUGAUGAAAAACACAAGAACAAAAAGAUAUCGGUUAUAUUAAACAUCAUUUAUGUAUAUUUUAACAAAUACGAGUAAGCACGCGGCUUCUGCCUUCGUAUGGUCAGUCAGCUCGCCUCGCACACUCUGACAGGAAUAAAUGAAAUCUGACACCUGCUGCUCUCUGUGACGUGACGCGCGUUCGGCUCCGCUAAAUUCAGUCAGCAGACACUUUCAGUUGUAAGUGUUUGCUCUCGCUAAUGAAACUAAAUGAUGUAAUUACACGAAAAUAUCAAAACAACGGUGAAAGACGGUGUCGCGGUGGGCAAGUGAUCUAACCGGUGAGAGGCUGAAGCACCGGUUAUCACCGUUUCACCGACCAUCGCGGCAAGCCUAAUUUGAUAUAAUAAAGCAAUGAGCCAAAAUAAGCAGUCUUUUACAGUAAUUUAAGAACUGUCAUGCAAGACUUAGUCCAAUACUUGAAUGGGGAAAACCGAUAUCUCUAAAAUCACGUGCUGAUAUCACAAUUAACGUAACACAACACAUUUCCGACCAACAAUUAAGCCUGAUAUUAACUGUACCAUAAUAUUUGUAUAAACGUCUUUUCUCUAGUUAGUUAUACUGAGCAUGCGCAAAGAUUGGCAAUCGCCUCGCUACUCCCUAUAUAAAGCCCCUCCCCAGAGAAGCGUCAGCAUUUAUAGAUUAGCCUUAUGGUGCUUUAUUAUUUCUUUUCUGAAACUUUGAUUUCGUUUACUUGGAAAGGAUUGAUCAAAUAAACGGAGCAAUUGUGCGUAGUUGUGUGUGUGUGCGCGCGCAACAUUACGGCUGCCAAGCAACAACACAGACGCAGUAAAAGGCUUGCCAAAUCGACGUCACCCUAAAUGCGCCGGUUUGACGCGUUCAUGCAAUGUUUUGAGGGAGACGCUAAUUUUACUCGUUUAUCCUCGGUCGAGGACAACGCGGAAAAAAGAAGAUAAUAGAUGCAAACAGAUAACCUGCUGGUUUCCUUCUGCCAUGCAGUGGAAAUAAUUUCAGCCAGCAAUGUCAAUGAUGUUUCGCGUUAUUGUGCACGACAGUGAAAUUCGAAAGGUUGUGAUUUCAGAAAAAACAGCUGAUGUUGAUGCCUUGAAACGUGUGCUUCAAGAGAAGUUGCAAGUCACAUAUUCUUUCAAUGUCCAAUUUGAAGACCCUGACUUUAAUCAUGCAUUAUGCAACCUAAGUGAUAUUAAUGAUUUGCCAGAUAAGGCAACAUUGAAAAUAAUUCCUCUAUCAACUUCUCCCUCCUCAAGUCAGGCCGACACUGUACUUCUCUCAGGUUCGGAUACAUCAGAGCAGUUGUCUGCUGAACGCCAAAGUGAGUGGCCAGAGGAUUUUGAAAUCCCUGAAUUUUCUGUUAAUGUUGAGUAUCGUCUCCGUCAGGGAAACCUUGCUUUUAUGAAAGAUGGUACAAGUCUUGAUGUUGGAAGAGACAUUAAAAAUGACAUAUUGGAAUCACUUGCGGGUGCCAUGUACACUUUUAAGGCAUAUCCAUCAGAUGAAAACUUUGCUCAAGUUGCUACCGCUCUUAUCAGAGCACACCCCUGCUUGACUGAACCGGGUUCUUCAACAGGAUCAGCUGGAUGGAAAAAACAGCCUGAAAUUUAAAAUGGCCAACUACAGAACAAAACUGCGUAAAUGUGGCUGUAGUGAUGUUGCUGUUGAGGGAAAGAGAGGUGCAGAAGCAGGCAGUGCUUUCAGGAGAAGCAUUAAAAAACCUAGACGAUUUGAAGUAAAUUUUUUGCCAAAUUUUCCUAACGGGGAGAAUGAAGACAGUCAAGAACGCCUGAGAAAAGAACUUGUAGAAGAAAUGAAAAAGAAGAGCCGAGACAUGAGCCUCAUUGGCCAAAAGAUGGACAGUACAUUUGCCCUGAGACGGAAGGAAAUCAUUCACUCUGAACCUCCUUUUUCUGAGAUCUUGGAAAAAUGGCCACUACUUUUCACAGAAAGCCAGAUCUUUGCAGAAUUCAAUCGUAUAUCUGGCAAGAAUCUGCGAUCUGAAUUCUAUGCAGCACUGGACAAACACUCUGCACGUUUCCUUUAAAUUUUCCGGAAGAAAGGGGGAACUCAAGGACGAACACUUGAUGAAAUUUUACGUCAGGUUGAUUUAAAGUCAUCUGAUGUAUCUUGUGUGCGUACAGCUGUACUUCAUGGACUUCCAGUUCUCCUGGGGGAUGACUCGGAUGAGUUUUUCAAGACGUGCUUUGUAAGUAAUGUUGGUGUUUCUGCUUUAAGUUUUGUUUCAUGAUUGUAUGGAUCAGGUUAUGAGAAGGAGUAUACAGUAGACAGACUAAAGCCCAGUAUACACUGCACGAUUAUUGGCUGUCCCAGACGAAAGAUUGCCAUCGUGAAACAAUCGUCGCGAUUUCUGUGAUCGUGGCUCUCCAUCGGUGGUCCUAUGUUGUACAAUGAGAGAGGUUCAAAGACGGCCAUUUUCCCGGUCUUGCAUCCAAAGAUAGCCUACAAUAGUUUUCUGACAGUGUCAGAAAUUCGGCAUGAUCACCGCACAGUGUGUUUGCUGCUACGACCUGCGCGCCGGUAUUUGUUUACCGCGAGCGCAUGCUGGUGACGUUGCGCCACGUAUGACGCUGCCACCGAAGCUUCCAUGUCAUCAUCGUAUAGUCUACAUGCCUCUCGUAACCGAGUUUAAACGAUACAUGGCACACAGUGUGAUAAGGUAAUGAUCUUAUAAGAGGACAAAAAUCGUGCAGUGUAUUCCGGGCUUAAGGGGCCAAUCACACAUGGCAGUUGCAGGCACCUUUUUUAAAUGAUAUUCUAUGGGCAGGGAGCAUGUGCGCGCUGUUUAUGCGUUUAUAUGUAUGCAAUAUGGCAAUUCAUAAAAGAUCGCUCCUAAAAUCUAUAUGUGUACAUUAGUUCAAAUACAGUAAAGUAUCAUUACUAACUCUUGGGUUGUUCAAACCUCUGACUUUUCUUUGUUUAUUGGAAACAAAACAAAAUUUAUAUUUGUUUGGCAGUGUAUGGUACCUAUAUCUUUAGCUUAAAAAAACACGAGUUAUUUAAUAAUUCUUUGUAAACAAAGAAAGUCAUAGGGGUUCUAAGUAGGGCUGCACAAUAAAUCCUAUGCGAUAUUACGCGCAUCUCCUCAGUAAAGCCGGUUCCUUGAUUA